UGUCCACAUACACUUUAAAAGGUGUUGGUGGGUCUACGCGACUCCUGUAAUUCGCAAAUAAUUCCUCAAGCCUUCAUAUUUACCUUAGCUCUUACUGAUGUGUCUGUUAAGCCCGCUGCUUAGUGAAUACGUAUUGCACGACAGUUCGCACAAUAAUUUGGAAAUGUUUGGAAAUAGCUUGCACAGCACUUAUUGUUAGAAGCUAUCACAAGUGAAAAGCAAAUGGAUACAAGAGUACUCAUCGGAAAAGAUUUAAUCCACCAAUAUAUGCUAAUGCCGUGCCCUAAAACAGCAAUUAUCGAUUGUUAAAACUACGGGAACAAAGCGUCAUAUUCAGAGGCAGUAAUUGUAGUCUCCCCGAGUCUCUUAUCUCUUCGGCACACCUUUAAUACACAAACGUGGAUUAGCUUAAAAGAUAUUUCCAGACAGAACAAUAACAAAAAGUGAAAUCAGUGUGUCGCUAUCACACAAGACAGAACAUGAUUUCUUUCCUUUCUAGACAAGAGCAACUUUUUUUGUUGUAACAGUUUGUGGCAAAUGAAAUAGUUCCAAUGGAAAAAGGUCGCUUGCCCCUGAUUCAAUUCCCUAGUCCGAUAAGAAAAGGAAGAUCGAAGGCUUGCUACCAUACUCCUUUUUUUCUCAUCAAAUCAAUUUUUUUUUUAUCAUAAGUACCCCCAUGUGGUUACCUCUUGAGUCAUGUCUCAAUUAACUAAUUAUCACUCUACAGUGCCUUCGAUAUUGACGUGAAGCCCAUUCAUGCACGUUUCAGAAAGAACUCGGAAGUCAAGUACAUCAGAAAUUUCUGCAUGUCAAGUUGACCAGUUACAUGAUGAUUUCAAGUUGGGAGCGGACAAAAUGGCGGCCGGACACCAAUCUUUGAGCUCCAUGGAACUAGCAAUUUUGCUGCUUAUGACUACCUUAUUCCUUCAUGGAAAUGUCAACACUAGUUCUCUUAUUCUACGAAGAGACGCUUCAGCCGCAAUGGAACACUGGUCGCUAGUCGUAGCCAACACAAGCUUACUGAAUUCUCGCAAGACCACUCCAAGCCGCGGCCAUGGAAAAAUAUACUUGUCUACGAGAUUUUCUCACACUUCGAACGGCACAAGUAGCUUCCACAUCUACCGACUCAUAACUGGAGGAGACAUCCACUCAAACCCCAGACCUACAACGAAAAUGUCCAAACAUCCCUGCAAAGAGUGUGGCGAAUGCGUGGGUUCCAAUCAAGAUUCCCUACUGUGUGUUUAGUGUAAUUCCUUCUCGCACACUAAAUGCCUGAACUUGACAAAAGCGAUGUUUAAAAGCUACUCAGAUAAGCAGGUCAUGGACUGGAAAUGCUCGCUAUGCUCCUUGCCAUUUAGUAAUGGGGA
Stylophora pistillata is the source of this 1367-nucleotide unclassified non-coding RNA. The record is from RefSeq and is a predicted model, not a curated record. Lineage: Eukaryota; Metazoa; Cnidaria; Anthozoa; Scleractinia; Pocilloporidae.